This 413-nucleotide ribosomal RNA is filed under the name uncultured bacterium. Its description in RNAcentral is "bacterial SSU rRNA". It matches the Rfam family "Bacterial small subunit ribosomal RNA", at positions 506 to 916 of the family's 1533-position model. The record is from RNAcentral.
UGUCAGCCGCCGCGGUAAUACGUAGGGUGCAAGCGUUAUCCGGCUUUAUUGGGCGUAAAGAGCUCGUAGGCGGUUCGUCGCGUCUGGUGUGAAAGUCCAUCGCUUAACGGUGGAUCGGCGCCGGGUACGGGCGGACUGGAGUGCGGUAGGGGAGACUGGAAUUCCCGGUGUAACGGUGGAAUGUGUAGAUAUCGGGAAGAACACCGAUGGCGAAGGCAGGUCUCUGGGCCGUCACUGACGCUGAGGAGCGAAAGCGUGGGGAGCGAACAGGAUUAGAUACCCUGGUAGUCCACGCCGUAAACGGUGGAUGCUGGAUGUGGGGCCCGUUCCACGGGUUCCGUGUCGGAGCUAACGCGUUAAGCAUCCCGCCUGGGGAGUACGGCCGCAAGGCUAAAACUCAAAUAAAUUGACGG